RNAcentral lists this non-coding RNA (173 nucleotides) under Tepidanaerobacter acetatoxydans. The record is from RNAcentral. Lineage: Bacteria; Bacillati; Bacillota; Clostridia; Thermosediminibacterales; Tepidanaerobacteraceae. RNAcentral also lists the same sequence under 1 other name.
AGUAAAUAGACUGCUUAAGGUGCCCAUUUGGGAGAAUAGGGAAGUCCGGUGCAAAUCCGGCGCGGUCCCGCCACUGUAAAGGGGAGCUGUUUAAAAAAUAUCCACUGAUAAAUCGGGAAGGGUUAAACAGCUGUGAACCCAGCCAGGAGACCUGCCUUAAGAGUUUGAUUUUC